AGAAUCAACGCUGGCGGCGUGCCUCAGACAUGCAAGUCGAACGCGAAAGUCCCCGUUCGGGGGACAAGUAGAGUGGCGCACGGGUGAGUAACACGUAGGUAAUCUACCUUCGGAUGGGGAAUAACAACCGGAAACGGUUGCUAAUACCGCAUAAUGCAGCGGCACCUAAUGGUGACAGUUGUUAAAGCGGGGGAUCGAAAGACCUCGCGUCUGAAGAGGAGCCUGCGGCGGAUUAGCUAGUUGGUAGGGUAACGGCCUACCAAGGCGACGAUCCGUAGCCGGCCUGAGAGGGCGGUCGGCCACACUGACACUGACAUACGGGUCAGACUCCUACGGGAGCAGCAGUCGGGAAUUUUGGGCAAUGGGCGAAAGCCUGACCCAGCAACGCCGCGUGAAGGAUGAAAUCCCUCGGGAUGUAAACUUCGCAAGAACGGAAGAAGUUAGUAGGGAACAACACCCCGUAUACGAUGACGGUGCGUUUGUAAGCGUACCGCUAACUCCGCCGCCACGCGACGCCGACGGUAA
RNAcentral lists this ribosomal RNA (525 nucleotides) under uncultured soil bacterium. Its description in RNAcentral is "bacterial SSU rRNA". It matches the Rfam family "Bacterial small subunit ribosomal RNA", at positions 26 to 523 of the family's 1533-position model. The record is from RNAcentral.